GUGCUCACUUUGGCAGCACAUAUACUAAAAUUGGAAUGAUACAUGAAAGAUUACCAUGGCCACUGCACAAGAAUGACACACAUAUUCGUCAAGUAUUCCAUAUUUUU
Molecule: small nuclear RNA, 107 nt
Organism: Artibeus jamaicensis (Jamaican fruit-eating bat)
Lineage: Eukaryota; Metazoa; Chordata; Mammalia; Chiroptera; Phyllostomidae
Source: RefSeq, a predicted model, not a curated record